UGGGGAAUAUUGGACAAUGGGGGCAACCCUGAUCCAGCGAUGCCGCGUGGGUGAAGAAGGCCUUCGGGUUGUAAAGCCCUUUAGGUUGGGAAGAAGGGUGUAGGUGGAUAAUGCUUACACUUUGACGGUACCGACAGAAUAAGCACCGGCAAACUCUGUGCCAGCAGCCGCGGUAAUACAGAGGGUGCAAGCGUUAAUCGGAGUUACUGGGCGUAAAGGGCGCGUAGGCGGUUAUAUGUGUGCAAUGUGAAAGCCCCGGGCUUAACCUGGGAAGUGCAAGGCAAACUGUAUAACUGGAGUAUAUGAGAGGGUGGCGGAAUUUCCGGUGUAGCGGUGAAAUGCGUAGAGAUCGGAAGGAACGUCGAUGGCGAAGGCAGCCACCUGGCAUAAUACUGACGCU
RNAcentral lists this ribosomal RNA (400 nucleotides) under uncultured bacterium. RNAcentral describes it as "bacterial SSU rRNA". It matches the Rfam family "Bacterial small subunit ribosomal RNA", at positions 355 to 747 of the family's 1533-position model. The record is from RNAcentral.